CCUACGGGAGGCAGCAGUGAGGAAUAUUGGUCAAUGGACGAGAGUCUGAACCAGCCAAGUAGCGUGAAGGAUGACUGCCCUAUGGGUUGUAAACUUCUUUUAUAUGGGAAUAAAAUGUUCCACGUGUGGGAUUUUGUAUGUACCAUAUGAAUAAGGAUCGGCUAACUCCGUGCCAGCAGCCGCGGUAAUACGGAGGAUCCGAGCGUUAUCCGGAUUUAUUGGGUUUAAAGGGAGCGUAGGUGGAUUGUUAAGUCAGUUGUGAAAGUUUGCGGCUCAACCGUAAAAUUGCAGUUGAAACUGGCAGUCUUGAGUGCAGUAGAGGUGGGCGGAAUGCGUGGUGUAGCGGUGAAAUGCUUAGAUAUCACGAAGAACUCCGAUUGCGAAGGCAGUUCACUGGACUGCAACUGACACUGAGGCACGAAAGUGUGGGUAUCAAACAGGAUUAGAUACCCGUGUAGUC
This 460-nucleotide ribosomal RNA is filed under the name uncultured bacterium. RNAcentral's name for it is "partial 16S ribosomal RNA". It matches the Rfam family "Bacterial small subunit ribosomal RNA", at positions 338 to 795 of the family's 1533-position model. The record is from RNAcentral.